UACGAAGGGGGCUAGCGUUGCUCGGAAUCACUGGGCGUAAAGCGCACGUAGGCGGAUUGUUAAGUCGGGGGUGAAAUCCUGGAGCUCAACUCCAGAACUGCCUUCGAUACUGGCGAUCUCGAGUCCGGGAGAGGUGAGUGGAACUCCGAGUGUAGAGGUGAAAUUCGUAGAUAUUCGCAAGAACACCAGUGGCGAAGGCGGCUCACUGGCCCGGUACUGACGCUGAGGUGCGAAAGCGUGGGGAGCAAACAGG
RNAcentral lists this ribosomal RNA (253 nucleotides) under uncultured bacterium. RNAcentral's name for it is "partial 16S ribosomal RNA". It matches the Rfam family "Bacterial small subunit ribosomal RNA", at positions 524 to 776 of the family's 1533-position model. The record is from RNAcentral.